UUCUUCAGUAGCUCAGCGGUAGAGCGAGUGGCUGUUAACCACUAUGACGUUGGUUCAAAUCCAACCUGAAGAGUC
This 75-nucleotide transfer RNA is filed under the name Psammoneis japonica. RNAcentral's name for it is "tRNA-Asn". It matches the Rfam family "tRNA". Rfam says of the family: Transfer RNA (tRNA) molecules are approximately 80 nucleotides in length. Their secondary structure includes four short double-helical elements and three loops (D, anti-codon, and T loops). Further hydrogen bonds mediate the characteristic L-shaped molecular structure. tRNAs have two regions of fundamental functional importance: the anti-codon, which is responsible for specific mRNA codon recognition, and the 3' end, to which the tRNAs corresponding amino acid is attached (by aminoacyl-tRNA synthetases). tRNAs cope with the degeneracy of the genetic code in two manners: having more than one tRNA (with a specific anti-codon) for a particular amino acid; and 'wobble' base-pairing, i.e. permitting non-standard base-pairing at the 3rd anti-codon position. The record is from RNAcentral. Lineage: Eukaryota; Bacillariophyta; Plagiogrammaphyceae; Plagiogrammales; Plagiogrammaceae.